GAGGGUAUAGCUCAAGCAGUAGAGCACAUGCUUAGCAUGCAUUAGGUCCUGGGUUCAAUCCCCAGUACCUCCU
This 73-nucleotide transfer RNA is filed under the name Camelus bactrianus (Bactrian camel). It matches the Rfam family "tRNA". Rfam says of the family: Transfer RNA (tRNA) molecules are approximately 80 nucleotides in length. Their secondary structure includes four short double-helical elements and three loops (D, anti-codon, and T loops). Further hydrogen bonds mediate the characteristic L-shaped molecular structure. tRNAs have two regions of fundamental functional importance: the anti-codon, which is responsible for specific mRNA codon recognition, and the 3' end, to which the tRNAs corresponding amino acid is attached (by aminoacyl-tRNA synthetases). tRNAs cope with the degeneracy of the genetic code in two manners: having more than one tRNA (with a specific anti-codon) for a particular amino acid; and 'wobble' base-pairing, i.e. permitting non-standard base-pairing at the 3rd anti-codon position. The record is from Rfam by way of RNAcentral. Lineage: Eukaryota; Metazoa; Chordata; Mammalia; Artiodactyla; Camelidae. RNAcentral also lists the same sequence under 2 other names.